Molecule: long non-coding RNA, 548 nt
Organism: Homo sapiens (human)
Lineage: Eukaryota; Metazoa; Chordata; Mammalia; Primates; Hominidae
Exons: 3
Source: RefSeq, a predicted model, not a curated record
UUAAAAAGAUGCAACUUUGCUGGCUUUGAAAAUGGAGAAUAGGCCAUAAACAAAGGAAUGGAGCAGCUGCAAGGAGCUAAAAGACAAAGAAAUAGAUUUCCCCCUAGAACCUCCAGAAAGGAAUGCAGCCCAGCUGAUGCCCUGAUUUUAGUCCAGUGCAACCUGUGUUGGACUUCUAACUUCAAGAACUGUAAGGAUGGUAGGACCUACAGAUUCUUGAUUAGAUUAUAGAUGCAAAAAAAGAACCUGGAAUUAUUCCCCAAGAAGCUCCUUCUUCUGAAACCAAGAGGGGACUACAUGAUUCUAUCUGAUGACAACCAGUCAGUGAUCUCAGGUAUAAAAUGCAAUGUCCUAUUGUAACAAUGGCUGGCAUUACACCCAACAUCUAGAAGAAAAAAAACAAUGAUGUCAGAAGGCAGUCAUCUGGAGUGAAUAAAAGGCAAGAGGCUUAUUGCAAAUUCUAAUGCACUUCAUCAUAGAAUUUUAAUUAACUAUUCCAUUCACACCAAUUGGGGACUAUUAAAGCAGUCGUUUCUGAGAAGCAAUCU